AAUGACUGGUGUUAAUAAGGCUCCAUCUGCACCAACAUCGCUAUGGAGGCAUGGGACAGUGGAAAAGCGCCAUAUAUCACAUGCUGCUGUGUCAUCUGCUUAUGGUUUAUCAGCAUUUGGCUGGGAACCUCGUUUGUGUCAGCAAAUGCUCUUUCAUACCACCUUUGAGGAAGUGAUGCAGAGUACCAUUGCGUGGCUUCCUACCCCGUCCCCAGGGAGGACACUGGGUUGUGUUGAGGCUUUUCAUUUCCUUUUGGAAACAGUGUAGGCCAGGCGUGGUGGCUCAUGCCUGUAAUCCCUAAACUUUGGGAGACCAGGAUGGGAGGACUGCUUGAGCCCAGGAAUUUGAGACCAACCUGGGCAAGAUAGUGAGACCCUAUCUCUAUUAAAAAAAAUUAAAAAAAUUAGCCAGGCGUAAUGGGGCACACCUGUAAUUCCAGCUACUCAGGAGGCUGAGGCAAGAGGUUCACUUGAGCCCAGGAGAUCGAGGCUGUAAUGAGCUAUGAUUGGGCCACUGCACCCUAGCCUGGGCGAUAGAGUGAGACCCUGUCAAAAAAAAAAAACAAAAAAACGACAGUGUCCCCAGUUCUCAGAUCUCUGGUUUAUGAGUGACGCUGCAGCCUCUCUCUGAUGAGCUGCAGGCUGGGGACUGACUCCUCGGCAGGUCUGCAGUGGGAACCUGUGGAGACAAAAGUGACUCCAUCUUGGAUGCCACUCCCCUGUGUUGACUUCCGAUUCGCCCCAGUCUUGUGAAUGCCUUCUGAUUUCUACUUUAUUUACUGCCCCUAGUGUAAGAACAUGUCAACCUUGAUGUUACUCCACAAAUCGUAGGCUGUGACUCACGUAGCGUUCUUGCCUGUUCUGGAGGGCUGCCUUUGGUUGUCUUGCUGGAGCACGAAUACCCUUUCCCUAUGGUAUCUAAGCCUUGCAUCUGGGGUGUGAGAAUGCAGAGCUCCACCUGUCUUGUGGCCACCCAAGAUCCCACUUCGGUCUGUAAAUUCCCUCAAUAAAUCACCCAAUAUUGAC
This 1026-nucleotide long non-coding RNA is filed under the name Homo sapiens (human). RNAcentral's name for it is "non-protein coding lnc-HK1-3:1". Lineage: Eukaryota; Metazoa; Chordata; Mammalia; Primates; Hominidae. The record is from RNAcentral.